This 382-nucleotide ribosomal RNA is filed under the name uncultured eukaryote. RNAcentral describes it as "partial 18S ribosomal RNA". It matches the Rfam family "Eukaryotic small subunit ribosomal RNA", at positions 592 to 976 of the family's 1831-position model. The record is from RNAcentral.
UGUAAGCGUAUACCAAAGUUGUUGCAGUUAAAACGCUCGUAGUCGGAAUUUGGCAGUUCCGGAUGUGUGCACGUCGUGUGCGCACUUCGCGGGGAUUGCUUUUGUGGUCUUGCGUAGGAUGAGGCACUUUUAUUAGUGAACGUCCUCACGCAACCACUUUUUACUGUGAGAAAAUCAGAGUGCUCAAAGCAGGCAUUUGCCGUGAAUGUAUUAGCAUGGAAUAAUAGUAUAGGACUUGGUUCUAUUUUGUUGGUUUGUUGGGACUGAGUAAUGAUUAAGAGGGACAGUUGGGGGCAUUUGUAUUUCGGUGCUAGAGGUGAAAUUCUUAGAUUACCGAAAGACAAACUGCUGCGAAAGCGUCUGCCAAGGAUGUUUUCAUUGA